ACCCACAUACAUAAAAUAAAAAACAAUAGAAAAAUGUCCCCCAUAGGCGCCUGUAUUUGGACAUCGGUCCUUGGUUGGUGGGGCUGUUUGAGGACAUUGUGGGAGUUUUAGGAGGUGGAUGGACACCUUGUUGGAGGAAGGAUGACACUGGAGGUGGGCUCCAAGAGUUCAUAGAUUCACCCCACUUUCCCUCUAUCACUUAUAUUUUGAGACAGGGUCUCGCUAAAGGGAGAGCUGAUUCGUUGUCUGGGUUGGCUGGCCAGUGAGCUGUGGGGCUCGUCUCAUCACGCAGAUCAGUGCCUUGCUCAGCCAUCACCAGAGAAGCUUCCUCCUGCAGCAGAUGGGAACAAAUACAGAGACCAGAGCUGGACAAUGUGCGGAGAGCGAGAGGCCAUGGAACACAGAAUCCUGAAUAGGAUGUCUCUGUCGAGCCUCCCUCCUCAGGGCUCAGGGAGCUUUCCUGAAGUGGAGGCAGAACAAUUGUUGGGAUAGAAGACACCAAGGCCACAAUGCCUUCUAGAUACAACAGGACGGAUGACCCGUGAACUCACAGACUAUGGCAGUGUGCACAGAGACUGCACAGGUCCAAGCCAGAUGGGGUCCCAGCACUGAGAACUGGACAGGAGCAUCCAUCCCUAGCCAAGAAGCUGUCUCACACUGAUAACGGCUAGCAAAGGAAAAAUUAGCUGUCUACAACAGAGCCUUACUGGACAUCUAAGCUACACUUAAGGACAGGCUCCAUGCUCAGCAGUAGGCGGCCAACUCAAAAUGAGCUCAACAGUAUUUGGGAGAUGUUUUUCACCUUACUGGCCUUUUGCUUCUGUGUUAUGGUUUCUGAUUUUGUGUUUUUAUGGGUUUUCUCUGUGGGCGUGUGUCUCUGCCUGUGUGUGUUUCUCGUGUUCUUUCUUUUCUUUCCUUUUUUUCUUUUCUGUUUGUUUUAUUCUAUUCUUGUUUGUUUGCCUAAAGAGAGAGAAAGAAGGCACGGAUUUGGAUGGGUUGGGAGGUGUGGAGAGGAUCUGGGAGGAGAUGGAGAGGGAAAAUCAUGAUCAGAACAUAUUGUGUGAUUAAAAAACUUAUUUUCAAUAGAAAUUAAUUGAUUCAUUAGUUCAUUAAAAAACGCAUGCUAUGUUCUUUUGAGACAUGCUGCAAUGUGUUUCUUGCACAGGACAUUGUAGGGCUUGCUGGGGAAUGGGGAAGGAUGGCCUGCCCUGUGGUCUCUGGCUGUUGAACAGGCACACAGCGUGAUUCUCAUUCAGUCCUCAUCUGUCCUCCGAGGUGGACUCAUUCUUCCUGAGGUGUGGUGCCCAGUCAGCUUCCAGGUAUGAGCAGUGAUCUAAAGCACAGGAACAGAGGGCAUGAAGGUGCCUCUGGUCAGUGCAGGAUGAUUGAGUGUUGGUCAGUCACCAUGGAUACAGAGAUUCCACAGUGCCUGACAAGCAAUGGGACAACAGCAGCAGCAGCAGCAACAACAACAACAACAAAAAGCUACCAAGGCUAAAUUCAUGGUCAAAACAUCACCCUUUGCUGGAGAUAAGGGCAGACAGACAUUGCUCUGGAGUACUUUGUCAGUAACACUGUUUAUGGACAAGUCCUGCUGGAUGCCACUUGAGUCCUUGGAUGUUACUCCCAUCCCACCAUUUUGCACAAUUGCUACAGAGCCUCUCCGGACAUGCAGAAGGAACUUCAGGAUAAGUACCAUGUCCAGGAGGGUGGUGGCUCUUAGGAGCUGGUCAAAUUGGAUCAUGGUUAUUGCUGUUGCCCCUUCUUGAAAUGUGUGCACAUGGUAAAAACGGGGCUGCAGGCAGAGCCCUGGGGAAGAGCAGCAGAAGCUCACGCACUGCCUGGAAGCUGUGUGUGUACCAGCCUUCGGGGAGGUCCGGAGGACAGGAGAGGGAAAUGUAGCACGUGUUAGAGAAAGGUUCCCGCCCACUGGCUGAUUCCUGAGCCAGCUUGGCCUGAAGUACGGGAAGCCACACCCCUGAGCCAAUAGAAGAGCAGUUUUAACUUAUUUCUCUGGAUCUUCUGCCCAGCAUCGUCUCUGGAAACUUAACCACGCCACCCUGUUCAUUUUCCUCCCUGUCUCCUCUGGAGCUGCACAGGGGUUCACAGUAGAGAAGGCUGAGGUCAGUGGACAGAGCCUUCAGCGUAGAGGGAGCAGCAAGAACCUGCGUGGCCUUUUGUCGUCUCAUCGGCUGUCUUGGAGCAAUGGCUACUGCUUCAGUUUUGUUUGUUUGUUUGUUUGUUUGUUUGUUUUUGUUCUGGUAUUGGAUGGUCACAGUAGGUGGUUUGGGGGCCAACUGUACCCUAGAUUGCACACGGACCCCUGUGCCUUGGCAAAUGGAGACAUAAUUGAGUGAAAAACAAUUUCAAAAACCGACUCUGUUAUCCAUCAGGUAAUAUCUGAUCUUCUAGAAACUUCUGUAGUGUCCCUUCUUCCAAAAAAAGAUGAACGGCAUUUCUCCCUCUUCCCCUGCCCUUCCCCUCCUCCUCUCCCUCUCUCUACCUCUCCCCCCUCUCUCUCCUGCUCCUCCCCUGAUCCUAAUACUCUGGACGAAGUGGAGAGUCAAAAGCAACAGAGUGAGAGGAGAGGAAAGCGGCAGGGGCGGAGAGAAGCAGAUAAUGAAACAAGAUCGAAGACUUUUGAAGUAAGUCACACAGGGAAACAUAUAGGUGCAGUCUUAGGACCUUGACAAAAGAAUCUACUUGAAUAAUCAGUUCCUGAUGCCAAACACACUAUCUCCAGCUCCAAGGACCACUCAGCCAUUCCUGCACAGGCGGCUGCUGGUCUGAUUUCUCCCACACUGUCUACUUUUGUCUUUCUGAGGAUCUGUCAUGGUUUUGCACCUGUCUUUGCACCCAUGUUGCUUUGUGUACAAAGUAAAUGGCUCUUGUUUUUACUAUGGGCUUAUAAUCAGUUGCACAGGGGCCCACAUUUUAAAUACAGCCUUCUGUUAGUGUUCACAGGGGCUUGGGUGUCUCGACUUUCUGAUUAUUCUAAAGAGAACUACUGUGAUCAUUUGUGUAUACAUCUUCCUGGAGAUAUGUGUCCUCAUUUUCCUUAGCUAGAGCCCUAGAAGUGGAUAACGGGCAGUUCCAUAUUUAAUGUUAUAAGAAAAUGGCAGUUUUCCAAAGAAACUGUAGCGUCUCACACAACAGCCAGGGUUUUGUUUGUUUUGAAUUAUAAUCAGCAUGAAAUGGA
Grammomys surdaster is the source of this 3199-nucleotide long non-coding RNA. RefSeq lists it as uncharacterized. The transcript has 2 exons. The record is from RefSeq and is a predicted model, not a curated record. Lineage: Eukaryota; Metazoa; Chordata; Mammalia; Rodentia; Muridae.